This 69-nucleotide transfer RNA is filed under the name Cnemaspis siamensis. RNAcentral's name for it is "tRNA-Ala". Lineage: Eukaryota; Metazoa; Chordata; Lepidosauria; Squamata; Gekkonidae. The record is from RNAcentral.
GACCCGUUGGUCUAAUUAAAGUGUCUGAGUUGCAGUUAGGUGAUGUAGAUUAUAGUUUUACAGGUCUUC